UACGUAGGGUGCGAGCGUCGUCCGGAAUUAUUGGGCGUAAAGAGCUCGUAGGCGGUUUGUCGCGUCGGCCGUGAAAACUUGGGGCUUAACCCCGAGCCUGCGGUCGAUACGGGCAGACUUGAGUUCGGCAGGGGAGACUGGAAUUCCUGGUGUAGCGGUGAAAUGCGCAGAUAUCAGGAGGAACACCGGUGGCGAAGGCGGGUCUCUGGGCCGAUACUGACGCUGAGGAGCGAAAGCGUGGGGAGCGAACAGG
Molecule: ribosomal RNA, 253 nt
Filed under: uncultured bacterium
Lineage: Bacteria
Description: partial 16S ribosomal RNA
Rfam family: Bacterial small subunit ribosomal RNA
Source: RNAcentral